Molecule: non-coding RNA, 30 nt
Filed under: Homo sapiens (human)
Lineage: Eukaryota; Metazoa; Chordata; Mammalia; Primates; Hominidae
Source: RNAcentral
UCCCGAAUAAAUAGCGUGAAUGUUCCCGGU